ACAAAGUAUGAUCUCCUACACAGAAAAAAAUAUAAAGAAACAGAAAUUGCCUUGGGAGGAUAUGGAUGUCAGAUUUAACAGAGAUUUCAAAGAACUUAUUAUAAAUCAUGUUUGAAGAAUGAAAGCAGUAUGAUGACAAUUUAUCAAAUAGAGAACAUCAAUAAACAGGAAUUUUUAAAAUGUUUAAAUUGAAAUUCAUCAAUUGAAAAUUAUAAUAAUUGAAAAUUUCACUGGAGGAACUCAACAAUAGAUUUGAGCAGGCAAAAGAAUUAGUGAACUUGAAGACAGAUCAGUAGAGGUUAUAUCAUUUGAAAAAAAAAAGAAAAAACAUGAAAACCCAUGAGCAGAUCCUUCCAGAAGUCAAGGACACCAUAAGGUCCACCGGUUAUGUAGAAUGGAAGAACUGUUGAGAAAGAGGACAGAAGAUACUUGAAUAAAAACUUUUCAAAUGAUGAAAAACUUUUCAAGUGAUGAAAAACAUUAAUCUAUAUAUCUAAGAACUCAACGAGUUCCAAAUAGGGAUAUAACUCAAUGAAUAUCUGAAUAGGAUAAAAAAGAAGAUAUUUACACCCAGACCCAUCACAGUGAUACUAUUGAAAGUAAAGAUUAAAAUCUUGAAAUCAAGAAAAACAAAAAUGAACAGGAAACAACACCCCCAAAAAACAAAACAAAAAAACAGGAACUAAAACAAAACAAAACAAAACAAAAAAAACAGUCCAUUAUUUACAAGGAAAUCAGUUUAAGAAUAAUAGGUAACUUUUUGUCCAAAACAAUGGAGGGUGGGAAGCAGAUGGAUGACAUACUCAGAAUGAAAGAUAAAAACAAAAAUUGUCAAUCAAGAAUCUAUACAUCAAAAGUAUUCUCAAAAGUAAAGAAGAAAUAAAGACAUUCUAGGACAAACCACAGUGGAGAGAAUCAUUGCUGACAGAUUUGCCUUGUAAGAAAUAUUAAAGCAAGUUCUUUAGGCUGAAAGUAAGUCACAUCA
RNAcentral lists this long non-coding RNA (985 nucleotides) under Marmota monax (woodchuck). Lineage: Eukaryota; Metazoa; Chordata; Mammalia; Rodentia; Sciuridae. The record is from RNAcentral.